RNAcentral lists this ribosomal RNA (253 nucleotides) under uncultured bacterium. RNAcentral's name for it is "partial 16S ribosomal RNA". It matches the Rfam family "Bacterial small subunit ribosomal RNA", at positions 524 to 776 of the family's 1533-position model. The record is from RNAcentral.
GACGGAAGGUGCAAGCGUUGCUCGGAAUCACUGGGCGUAAAGGGUGCGUAGGCGGCCUGGUAAGUCUGGCGUGAAAGCCCAGGGCUCAGCCCUGGAAGUGCGCUAGAAACUGCGAGGCUCGAGUGCCGGAGGGGAGAGUGGAAUUCCUGGUGUAGCGGUGGAAUGCGCAGAUAUCAGGAAGAACACCCGUGGCGAAGGCGGCUCUCUGGGACGGUACUGACGCUGAGACGCGAAAGCGUGGGGAGCGAACAGG